Micropterus salmoides (largemouth bass) is the source of this 807-nucleotide long non-coding RNA. RefSeq lists it as uncharacterized. The record is from RefSeq and is a predicted model, not a curated record. Lineage: Eukaryota; Metazoa; Chordata; Actinopteri; Centrarchiformes; Centrarchidae. The transcript has 3 exons.
AGACACACAACGCUGCUGACAGAGUUUUUGAUUUCGUACUUUUAUUAAAAUCUUUUGUUUUGUGGAAAUAACACUUAUCUGCCUACACUUGUUCUCUUGCUUGUCGCCGAAUUUACCUUGUGACGACUCCCGGUUUGUUUUCCGCCACUUUUAACUCCCAUGUUCCAGUCAGGAACAACACAGAUGUUUGCUGCCAUGGCCAUAGCAUCAACAGUGCCUCUGUUGGGGUUCUUGGAUCAUAAGCAUGAUGUGCAGAAGCCACCACAACACUAUGGACUAUGUGAUGGAAUUUUAAUAUCUAGAUGUUUCAAAGUUCUAGGACGAGUUUUACCGUCAGACUGGAAGAAUCUGCCAGAAAGAGGAUCGCACUCCGAUGAAGGAAGAAUACCAGAAAUACAAACAGCUCAAAGCUAAAGUGUGUCUGCUGGAAGUCCCCCUCAGCAAACAGGAAGUCACCAAAACCGUGUGAGAGGAAGUGGAAACUCCCAGAGACUGCCUCCACCCUGAAACUCUGCAUGAGAAAAGAGCUUUCUGUGUUGAGAGGAGAGGAAGAGUUACAGAAAGAAACGUGUUGAGCUCCGGCGAAGCGCCCGGCCGGCCGGCGAGGAGCCAAGAAGACGGAGCAGCAGGAGGAGGAGAAGGUGGAGGAGCUGAUCUUCAGCGUGGAGGCUCACAGCAGCAAAGAGCUGCGACACUUCAAGUUCCUCUCCGUCUGCUUCACGGCUCAGCUGCUCGGCUCGGCCAGCUUCGUCGGUAAACCUGCACAGGCCACAAAUACAGACUAAUAAAAGCUACAUUUGUUCUGAG